Molecule: non-coding RNA, 31 nt
Filed under: Homo sapiens (human)
Lineage: Eukaryota; Metazoa; Chordata; Mammalia; Primates; Hominidae
Source: RNAcentral
UGGGCAGUUGGUUUGGAUGACUUGGCUGCCA